GAGUUUGAUCCUGGCUCAGGAUGAACGCUGGCGGCGUGCCUAAUACAUGCAAGUCGAACGAAACUUCUUUAUCACCGAGUGCUUGCACUCACCGAUAAAGAGUUGAGUGGCGAACGGGUGAGUAACACGUGGGCAACCUGCCCAAAAGAGGGGGAUAACACUUGGAAACAGGUGCUAAUACCGCAUAACCAUAGUUACCGCAUGGUAACUAUGUAAAAGGUGGCUAUGCUACCGCUUUUGGAUGGGCCCGCGGCGCAUUAGCUAGUUGGUGGGGUAAAGGCUUACCAAGGCAAUGAUGCGUAGCCGAACUGAGAGGUUGAUCGGCCACAUUGGGACUGAGACACGGCCCAAACUCCUACGGGAGGCAGCAGUAGGGAAUCUUCCACAAUGGGCGAAAGCCUGAUGGAGCAACGCCGCGUGGGUGAAGAAGGUCUUCGGAUCGUAAAACCCUGUUGUUAGAGAAGAAAGUGCGUGAGAGUAACUGUUCACGUUUCGACGGUAUCUAACCAGAAAGCCACGGCUAACUACGUGCCAGCAGCCGCGGUAAUACGUAGGUGGCAAGCGUUAUCCGGAUUUAUUGGGCGUAAAGCGAGCGCAGGCGGUUGCUUAGGUCUGAUGUGAAAGCCUUCGGCUUAACCGAAGAAGUGCAUCGGAAACCGGGCGACUUGAGUGCA
This 674-nucleotide ribosomal RNA is filed under the name uncultured bacterium. Its description in RNAcentral is "bacterial SSU rRNA". It matches the Rfam family "Bacterial small subunit ribosomal RNA", at positions 9 to 650 of the family's 1533-position model. The record is from RNAcentral.